RNAcentral lists this ribosomal RNA (2924 nucleotides) under Escherichia coli. Its description in RNAcentral is "LSU rRNA". It matches the Rfam family "Bacterial large subunit ribosomal RNA". RNAcentral also lists the same sequence under 3 other names. The record is from RNAcentral. Lineage: Bacteria; Pseudomonadati; Pseudomonadota; Gammaproteobacteria; Enterobacterales; Enterobacteriaceae.
GGUUAAGCGACUAAGCGUACACGGUGGAUGCCCUGGCAGUCAGAGGCGAUGAAGGACGUGCUAAUCUGCGAUAAGCGUCGGUGAGGUGAUAUGAACCGUUAUAACCGGCGAUUUCCGAAUGGGGAAACCCAGUGUGUUUCGACACACUAUCAUUAACUGAAUCCAUAGGUUAAUGAGGCGAACCGGGGGAACUGAAACAUCUAAGUACCCCGAGGAAAAGAAAUCAACCGAGAUUCCCCCAGUAGCGGCGAGCGAACGGGGAGGAGCCCAGAGCCUGAAUCAGUGUGUGUGUUAGUGGAAGCGUCUGGAAAGGCGCGCGAUACAGGGUGACAGCCCCGUACACAAAAAUGCACAUAUUGUGAGCUCGAUGAGUAGGGCGGGACACGUGGUAUCCUGUCUGAAUAUGGGGGGACCAUCCUCCAAGGCUAAAUACUCCUGACUGACCGAUAGUGAACCAGUACCGUGAGGGAAAGGCGAAAAGAACCCCGGCGAGGGGAGUGAAAAAGAACCUGAAACCGUGUACGUACAAGCAGUGGGAGCCUCUUAAUGGGGUGACUGCGUACCUUUUGUAUAAUGGGUCAGCGACUUAUAUUCUGUAGCAAGGUUAACCGAAUAGGGGAGCCGAAGGGAAACCGAGUCUUAACUGGGCGUUAAGUUGCAGGGUAUAGACCCGAAACCCGGUGAUCUAGCCAUGGGCAGGUUGAAGGUUGGGUAACACUAACUGGAGGACCGAACCGACUAAUGUUGAAAAAUUAGCGGAUGACUUGUGGCUGGGGGUGAAAGGCCAAUCAAACCGGGAGAUAGCUGGUUCUCCCCGAAAGCUAUUUAGGUAGCGCCUCGUGAAUUCAUCUCCGGGGGUAGAGCACUGUUUCGGCAAGGGGGUCAUCCCGACUUACCAACCCGAUGCAAACUGCGAAUACCGGAGAAUGUUAUCACGGGAGACACACGGCGGGUGCUAACGUCCGUCGUGAAGAGGGAAACAACCCAGACCGCCAGCUAAGGUCCCAAAGUCAUGGUUAAGUGGGAAACGAUGUGGGAAGGCCCAGACAGCCAGGAUGUUGGCUUAGAAGCAGCCAUCAUUUAAAGAAAGCGUAAUAGCUCACUGGUCGAGUCGGCCUGCGCGGAAGAUGUAACGGGGCUAAACCAUGCACCGAAGCUGCGGCAGCGACACUAUGUGUUGUUGGGUAGGGGAGCGUUCUGUAAGCCUGUGAAGGUGGCCUGUGAGGGUUGCUGGAGGUAUCAGAAGUGCGAAUGCUGACAUAAGUAACGAUAAAGCGGGUGAAAAGCCCGCUCGCCGGAAGACCAAGGGUUCCUGUCCAACGUUAAUCGGGGCAGGGUGAGUCGACCCCUAAGGCGAGGCCGAAAGGCGUAGUCGAUGGGAAACAGGUUAAUAUUCCUGUACUUGGUGUUACUGCGAAGGGGGGACGGAGAAGGCUAUGUUGGCCGGGCGACGGUUGUCCCGGUUUAAGCGUGUAGGCUGGUUUUCCAGGCAAAUCCGGAAAAUCAAGGCUGAGGCGUGAUGACGAGGCACUACGGUGCUGAAGCGACAAAUGCCCUGCUUCCAGGAAAAGCCUCUAAGCAUCAGGUAACAUCAAAUCGUACCCCAAACCGACACAGGUGGUCAGGUAGAGAAUACCAAGGCGCUUGAGAGAACUCGGGUGAAGGAACUAGGCAAAAUGGUGCCGUAACUUCGGGAGAAGGCACGCUGAUAUGUAGGUGAAGCGACUUGCUCGUGGAGCUGAAAUCAGUCGAAGAUACCAGCUGGCUGCAACUGUUUAUUAAAAACACAGCACUGUGCAAACACGAAAGUGGACGUAUACGGUGUGACGCCUGCCCGGUGCCGGAAGGUUAAUUGAUGGGGUUAGCGGUAACGCGAAGCUCUUGAUCGAAGCCCCGGUAAACGGCGGCCGUAACUAUAACGGUCCUAAGGUAGCGAAAUUCCUUGUCGGGUAAGUUCCGACCUGCACGAAUGGCGUAAUGAUGGCCAGGCUGUCUCCACCCGAGACUCAGUGAAAUUGAACUCGCUGUGAAGAUGCAGUGUACCCGCGGCAAGACGGAAAGACCCCGUGAACCUUUACUAUAGCUUGACACUGAACAUUGAGCCUUGAUGUGUAGGAUAGGUGGGAGGCUUUGAAGUGUGGACGCCAGUCUGCAUGGAGCCGACCUUGAAAUACCACCCUUUAAUGUUUGAUGUUCUAACGUGGGCCCCUUACCGGGGUUGCGGACAGUGUCUGGUGGGUAGUUUGACUGGGGCGGUCUCCUCCUAAAGAGUAACGGAGGAGCACGAAGGUUGGCUAAUCCUGGUCGGACAUCAGGAGGUUAGUGCAAUGGCAUAAGCCAGCUUGACUGCGAGCGUGACGGCGCGAGCAGGUGCGAAAGCAGGUCAUAGUGAUCCGGUGGUUCUGAAUGGAAGGGCCAUCGCUCAACGGAUAAAAGGUACUCCGGGGAUAACAGGCUGAUACCGCCCAAGAGUUCAUAUCGACGGCGGUGUUUGGCACCUCGAUGUCGGCUCAUCACAUCCUGGGGCUGAAGUAGGUCCCAAGGGUAUGGCUGUUCGCCAUUUAAAGUGGUACGCGAGCUGGGUUUAGAACGUCGUGAGACAGUUCGGUCCCUAUCUGCCGUGGGCGCUGGAGAACUGAGGGGGGCUGCUCCUAGUACGAGAGGACCGGAGUGGACGCAUCACUGGUGUUCGGGUUGUCAUGCCAAUGGCACUGCCCGGUAGCUAAAUGCGGAAGAGAUAAGUGCUGAAAGCAUCUAAGCACGAAACUUGCCCCGAGAUGAGUUCUCCCUGACUCCUUGAGAGUCCUGAAGGAACGUUGAAGACGACGACGUUGAUAGGCCGGGUGUGUAAGCGCAGCGAUGCGUUGAGCUAACCGGUACUAAUGAACCGUGAGGCUUAACCUUACAACGCCGAAGAUGUUUUG